RNAcentral lists this ribosomal RNA (253 nucleotides) under uncultured bacterium. RNAcentral describes it as "partial 16S ribosomal RNA". It matches the Rfam family "Bacterial small subunit ribosomal RNA", at positions 524 to 776 of the family's 1533-position model. The record is from RNAcentral.
UACGGGGGGGGCAAGCGUUGUUCGGAAUUACUGGGCGUAAAGGGCCAGUAGGCGGCCAACUAAGUCGGAUGUGAAAUCCCCAGGCUUAACCUGGGAACUGCAUCCGAUACUGGAUGGCUUGAAUUCGGGAGAGGGAUGCAGAAUUCCAGGUGUAGCGGUGAAAUGCGUAGAUAUCUGGAGGAAUACCGGUGGCGAAGGCGGCAUCCUGGACCGGCAUUGACGCUGAGGCGCGAAAGCCAGGGGAGCAAACGGG